RNAcentral lists this ribosomal RNA (1490 nucleotides) under Halomonas campaniensis. RNAcentral describes it as "bacterial SSU rRNA". It matches the Rfam family "Bacterial small subunit ribosomal RNA". Lineage: Bacteria; Pseudomonadati; Pseudomonadota; Gammaproteobacteria; Oceanospirillales; Halomonadaceae. The record is from RNAcentral.
AUUGAACGCUGGCGGCAGGCCUAACACAUGCAAGUCGAGCGGCAGCACGGGAAGCUUGCUUCCUGGUGGCGAGCGGCGGACGGGUGAGUAAUGCAUAGGAAUCUGCCCGAUAGUGGGGGAUAACCUGGGGAAACCCAGGCUAAUACCGCAUACGUCCUACGGGAGAAAGCAGGGGCUCUUCGGACCUUGCGCUAUCGGAUGAGCCUAUGUCGGAUUAGCUAGUUGGUGAGGUAAUGGCUCACCAAGGCGACGAUCCGUAGCUGGUCUGAGAGGAUGAUCAGCCACAUCGGGACUGAGACACGGCCCGAACUCCUACGGGAGGCAGCAGUGGGGAAUAUUGGACAAUGGGCGCAAGCCUGAUCCAGCCAUGCCGCGUGUGUGAAGAAGGCCCUCGGGUUGUAAAGCACUUUCAGUGGGGAAGAAAGCCUUGGGGCUAAUACCCUCGAGGAAGGACAUCACCCACAGAAGAAGCACCGGCUAACUCCGUGCCAGCAGCCGCGGUAAUACGGAGGGUGCAAGCGUUAAUCGGAAUUACUGGGCGUAAAGCGCGCGUAGGUGGCUUGAUAAGCCGGUUGUGAAAGCCCCGGGCUCAACCUGGGAACGGCAUCCGGAACUGUCAGGCUAGAGUGCAGGAGAGGAAGGUAGAAUUCCCGGUGUAGCGGUGAAAUGCGUAGAGAUCGGGAGGAAUACCAGUGGCGAAGGCGGCCUUCUGGACUGACACUGACACUGAGGUGCGAAAGCGUGGGUAGCAAACAGGAUUAGAUACCCUGGUAGUCCACGCCGUAAACGAUGUCGACUAGCCGUUGGGAGCCUCGAGUUCUUAGUGGCGCAGUUAACGCGAUAAGUCGACCGCCUGGGGAGUACGGCCGCAAAGUUAAAACUCAAAUGAAUUGACGGGGGCCCGCACAAGCGGUGGAGCAUGUGGUUUAAUUCGAUGCAACGCGAAGAACCUUACCUACCCUUGACAUCGUGCGAACUUGGUAGAGAUACCUUGGUGCCUUCGGGAACGCACAGACAGGUGCUGCAUGGCUGUCGUCAGCUCGUGUUGUGAAAUGUUGGGUUAAGUCCCGUAACGAGCGCAACCCUUGUCCCUAUUUGCCAGCGAUUCGGUCGGGAACUCUAGGGAGACUGCCGGUGACAAACCGGAGGAAGGUGGGGACGACGUCAAGUCAUCAUGGCCCUUACGGGUAGGGCUACACACGUGCUACAAUGGUCGGUACAAAGGGUUGCAAAGCGGCGACGUGGAGCUAAUCCCAGAAAGCUGAUCUCAGUCCGGAUCGGAGUCUGCAACUCGACUCCGUGAAGUCGGAAUCGCUAGUAAUCGUGAAUCAGAAUGUCACGGUGAAUACGUUCCCGGGCCUUGUACACACCGCCCGUCACACCAUGGGAGUGGACUGCACCAGAAGUGGUUAGCCUAACUUCGGAGGGCGAUCACCACGGUGUGGUUCAUGACUGGGGUGAAGUCGUAACAAGGUAGCCGUAGGGGAACC